AGUGGGGAAUAUUGCACAAUGGGCGAAAGCCUGAUGCAGCCAUGCCGCGUGUGUGAAGAAGGCUUUCGGGUUGUAAAGCACUUUCAGCGAGGAGGAAAGGUAGUAGAUUAAUACUCUGCUACUGUGACGUUACUCGCAGAAGAAGCACCGGCUAACUCCGUGCCAGCAGCCGCGGUAAUACGGAGGGUGCAAGCGUUAAUCGGAAUUACUGGGCGUAAAGCGCGCGUAGGCGGCUUGUUAAGCUAGAUGUGAAAGCCCUGGGCUCAACCUAGGAACUGCAUUUAGAACUGGCUCGCUAGAAUAUGGUAGAGGUUAGUGGAAUUUCCUGUGUAGCGGUGAAAUGCGUAGAGAUGGGAAGGAACACCAGUGGCGAAGGCGACUGACUGGACCAAUAUUGACGCUGAGGUGCGAAAGCGUGGGUAGCAAA
RNAcentral lists this ribosomal RNA (427 nucleotides) under uncultured Litoribacillus sp. Its description in RNAcentral is "bacterial SSU rRNA". It matches the Rfam family "Bacterial small subunit ribosomal RNA", at positions 353 to 772 of the family's 1533-position model. The record is from RNAcentral. Lineage: Bacteria; Pseudomonadati; Pseudomonadota; Gammaproteobacteria; Oceanospirillales; Oceanospirillaceae.